CGGUUGAUCCUGCCGGACCCUACUGCUAUCGGGGUGGGACUAAGACAUGCGAGUUGAGCGUCUCUAAGCUAUGGUAGAGACGCGGCGUACGGCUCAGUAACACGUGGCUAACCUACCCUUAGGACGGGGACAACCCCGGGAAACUGGGGCUAAUACCCGAUAGGCGAGGAGGCCUGGAAUGGUUCCUAGUCGAAAAGGCGUUGAAACCAUGCUUUUCGACGUCGCCUAAGGAUGGGGCCGCGCCCGAUCAGGUUGUUGGUGGGGUAACGGCUCACCAAGCCUAUAACCGGUACGGGCCGUGAGAGCGGGAGCCCGGAGAUGGGCACUGAGACAAGGGCCCAGGCCCUACGGGGCGCAGCAGUCGCGAAAACUCCGCAAUGCGCGAAAGCGUGACGGGGCUACCCCGAGUGCCGUCCGCUGAGGAUGGCUUUUCCCCGGUGUAAUGAGCCGGGGGAAUAAGGAGAGGGCAAGUCUGGUGUCAGCCGCCGCGGUAACACCAGCUCUCCGAGUGGUAGGGAUGAUUAUUGGGCUUAAAGCGUCCGUAGCCGGCUUAGCAAGUCUCCUGUUAAAUUCAGCGACCUAAUCGUUGAGCCGCGGGAGAUACUACUAGGCUAGGAGGCGGGAGAGGCCGACGGUAUUCUCGGGGUAGGGGUGAAAUCCUAUAAUCCCGGGAGGACCACCAGUGGCGAAGGCUGUCGGCUAGAACGCGCUCGACGGUGAGGGACGAAAGCUGGGGGAGCGAACCGGAUUAGAUACCCGGGUAGUCCCAGCUGUAAACGAUGCGGGCUAGGUGUUGGGGUGGCUACGAGCCACUUCAGUGCCGCAGGGAAGCCAUUAAGCCCGCCGCCUGGGGAGUACGGCCGCAAGGCUGAAACUUAAAGGAAUUGGCGGGGGAGCAC
RNAcentral lists this ribosomal RNA (899 nucleotides) under uncultured archaeon. RNAcentral describes it as "bacterial SSU rRNA". It matches the Rfam family "Archaeal small subunit ribosomal RNA", at positions 5 to 879 of the family's 1478-position model. The record is from RNAcentral.